This 274-nucleotide ribosomal RNA is filed under the name uncultured bacterium. RNAcentral's name for it is "partial 16S ribosomal RNA". It matches the Rfam family "Bacterial small subunit ribosomal RNA", at positions 523 to 796 of the family's 1533-position model. The record is from RNAcentral.
AUACGGAGGGUGCGAGCGUUAAUCGGAAUUACUGGGCGUAAAGGGUGCGUAGGCGGCUUGAUAAGUCGGAUGUGAAAGCCCCGGGCUUAACCUGGGAAUUGCAUUCGAUACUGUCAGGCUAGAGUAUGUCAGAGGUUGGCGGAAUUCCUGGUGUAGCGGUGAAAUGCGUAGAUGUCAGGAGGAACACCAGUGGCGAAGGCGGCUAACUGGGGCAAUACUGACGCUGAGGCACGAAAGCGUGGGGAGCAAACAGGAUUAGAAACCCUAGUAGUCC